UUUUGAGGAGAUAAUGUAGGUAAUCUACGUUGUAUACCUACACCUGCAGGUAUGCCACAGAGCCACACAUACCAAUCUUCCCGGGACAUCACUAGUUGCAUGUAGCAUUUUCGGGAGGCAUCGGACCCACCCUGUCAGACACGGCUCGUUAGCCGCUUGGACGAUCGAGUCGGACACACCCAUCAUCUCCAGAUGAGGCCAAGAUAGUGCCUGUUAAGUUCCAGCAGACGCGCCACACUGUGGAGCCGUGGUCGUCAAAUUGUCCUGCUUGACGCACCUCAAAUAUUGACAAACUGCUCUGGUUCUGUGUUGAGUCUUCUCUGAAAAGAACAGAGAAAGAUAGAGUAUACUGUAUCAAUAUAACACUUCAAUUGAACUACAAUACACAACUGGGAAAGGAGUUACCAAUAAUGCUGGCAAACUACCAUACCACCCAAACUAACGGCAGGGUAGUAAACCAUAUCAGCAUGGGUAGGUCUGGCGGCUCACCAGGCAGUCUUACCUGUCUGUCCAUACAGAGAUGUCUGUCCCGAGCUCUUGCCUCUGUACAGUACUGAUACUCUUUCAGUAAACUCCAAUGAACUAA
This is a long non-coding RNA of Homarus americanus (American lobster), 586 nucleotides long. RefSeq lists it as uncharacterized. Lineage: Eukaryota; Metazoa; Arthropoda; Malacostraca; Decapoda; Nephropidae. The record is from RefSeq and is a predicted model, not a curated record. The transcript is spliced from 3 exons.